AGACAGGUUGGACCCAUACCGAAGCUAGCCUAGCCACCUUGCAUUGCAGAAACUGAGACAGAGGGUGGCUUGUGCCUUGCCCAAGUGACAUAGCCAGUCACCGGCCUAACAGGGGCAAGCUCUCAGGAAUCCUGGCCCAAUACCCUGUGCACAGCUGCCAAGUGGGAGUGGCUGUGAAUGCCGAGGACUCUGGACAGCCAAGAUGCAGCCAAGUCCUCUCUGGACUUACAAUCACAGCAGUGCUGAGAGGCAAGCGCAUAGAGGUCAUUGCUCAAAUGCUUGAGGAUUCAGAGGAAAAAGCCUACAGGUGCUGUGGCCCGAGAGGAAGAAAGGCUAUGAGGAAAGGCUGCUCAAUAAGAGAGCUGCUUUCUGCAUACUGCUGGCUGGGGCCUGUGCAACCAGAAGAAUGAACCUGGGGGUCACUCUGAGUGCCCCAGCAGCUCCAGAAGAUGGGCUGCUACAGAGAAGAGAAUAUAGGUGAGAGUGUGGACUGGAGAGAAAGGACCAAGCUUCUCUGCCAGUCCUCAAGAGAAUUCCACUUUCCUCCAGGCUCUGGGGAUCAGGAGUCUGCAGUCUUGACAAGCUCCCAGGUGCUGCUGUCCCUGCUGGUCCCACAACUGCCUUUGAGAAGUGGAGGUGUAGCCUUGGAGGAUCAGAAUCACUGGCAUCACCUGAGGGCAGUGCCCAGUAAGGCAGAUGCCUCCACCCGGACCUUAUCCCUGAGCCUCAAGCCUGCGUGAGGCCCACCUGCCGUCUGGCUGGAGGACCAGGCCCCGCGUGUUUGCUCCAGCAGCUCCAGCACCACCAGGAGGGUGAAGCAGACUAGCUGUCCUCACUCAGGAGGCUGAUGGGACAAAAGGGCUUGGUUGACCCCACAGAUCCAGGCAUGUCUGUAAGAUGAGGAAAUUCUGCUGGGCUCCCUGGUCUGAGAACCCAGAAAGAAAGUGAAAUGCUUAAGUUUCAGGGUCGCCCUCCCUGCAGAGCCCCUGUAAUGCUGGGAGUCACUGGGAUUUUCUGAGUGUUUUGGGGGUGAGGGUGGGGGUGGGCAGCAGGGGACACCAGCUUGUAAUCAGGAAGUGUUUCUCUGCAAACCAGGGUUUGAGUUUUGCUUUGUUUUGCAAACUGCCUGAAGACAUUUUAAAAGAAAGGUAGCUGAGUUCCCAAGGCUCUAGAAACUUGUUUUGACAGCUUUCUUGGUCUAAAUAAAUAUUUGUUCUUCUACCAUUAUUUUUUCUUUUUCUUAAAGUGCGCUUCCACCCUACAUGACCACUCUAACCCUGAGGCCAUCAAGAAUGAAAAGUGGCCUUUCUCCGCAAAAAGCUGAGAUGGUCGACCCCAGAUUCCUCUCCCCUCACUCCUGCUUGAAACAGAACGAGCUUUUUCAAAAGCACCUUCACUUCUCAACCAAGAUAAAAAGGUUGGAAGUCGACAGUGUCCUUAAAGGGCUUCAGCAGAUGGGUUGAAAUUCAGAAUCUCCUCGAAGUAAUGCAGGUUCCCUCCACCCCUUUGGAAAAUGUCUAAUUAAAAACAAAUAAGAAUUAAAAAUCAGCACCAUCCUCUGAUGUGGCUCAUA
Long non-coding RNA from Manis pentadactyla (Chinese pangolin), 1573 nucleotides. RefSeq lists it as uncharacterized. The transcript has 4 exons. NCBI's taxonomy places the organism in Eukaryota, Metazoa, Chordata, Mammalia, Pholidota, Manidae. The record is from RefSeq and is a predicted model, not a curated record.